GGGUUGUGAGGUUAAGCGACUAAGCGUACACGGUGGAUGCCCUGGCAGUCAGAGGCGAUGAAGGACGUGCUAAUCUGCGAAAAGCGUCGGUAAGGUGAUAUGAACCGUUACAGCCGGCGAUGUCCGAAUGGGGAAACCCAGUGCAAUUCGUUGCACUAUCGUUAACUGAAUACAUAGGUUAACGAGGCGAACCGGGGGAACUGAAACAUCUAAGUACCCCGAGGAAAAGAAAUCAACCGAGAUUCCCCCAGUAGCGGCGAGCGAACGGGGAGCAGCCCAGAGUCUGAAUCAGCUUGUGUGUUAGUGGAACGGUCUGGAAAGUCCGACGGUACAGGGUGAUAGUCCCGUACACCAAAAUGCACAGGCUGUGAACUCGAAGAGUAGGGCGGGACACGUGGUAUCCUGUCUGAAUAUGGGGGGACCAUCCUCCAAGGCUAAAUACUCCUGACUGACCGAUAGUGAACCAGUACCGUGAGGGAAAGGCGAAAAGAACCCCGGCGAGGGGAGUGAAAAAGAACCUGAAACCGUGUACGUACAAGCAGUGGGAGCACCUUCGGGUGUGACUGCGUACCUUUUGUAUAAUGGGUCAGCGACUUAUAUUCUGUAGCAAGGUUAACCGUAUAGGGGAGCCGCAGGGAAACCGAGUCUUAACUGGGCGUUAAGUUGCAGGGUAUAGACCCGAAACCCGGUGAUCUAGCCAUGGGCAGGUUGAAGGUUGGGUAACACUAACUGGAGGACCGAACCGACUAAUGUUGAAAAAUUAGCGGAUGACUUGUGGCUGGGGGUGAAAGGCCAAUCAAACCGGGAGAUAGCUGGUUCUCCCCGAAAGCUAUUUAGGUAGCGCCUCGUGAAUUCAUCUUCGGGGGUAGAGCACUGUUUCGGCUAGGGGGUCAUCCCGACUUACCAACCCGAUGCAAACUACGAAUACCGAAGAAUGUUAUCACGGGAGACACACGGCGGGUGCUAACGUCCGUCGUGAAGAGGGAAACAACCCAGACCGCCAGCUAAGGUCCCAAAGUCAUGGUUAAGUGGGAAACGAUGUGGGAAGGCACAGACAGCCAGGAUGUUGGCUUAGAAGCAGCCAUCAUUUAAAGAAAGCGUAAUAGCUCACUGGUCGAGUCGGCCUGCGCGGAAGAUGUAACGGGGCUAAACCAUGCACCGAAGCUGCGGCAGCGACACUAUGUGUUGUUGGGUAGGGGAGCGUUCUGUAAGCCUGCGAAGGUGUGCUGUGAGGCAUGCUGGAGGUAUCAGAAGUGCGAAUGCUGACAUAAGUAACGAUAAAGCGGGUGAAAAGCCCGCUCGCCGGAAGACCAAGGGUUCCUGUCCAACGUUAAUCGGGGCAGGGUGAGUCGACCCCUAAGGCGAGGCCGAAAGGCGUAGUCGAUGGGAAACAGGUUAAUAUUCCUGUACUUGGUGUUACUGCGAAGGGGGGACGGAGAAGGCUAUGUUAGCCGGGCGACGGUUGUCCCGGUUUAAGCAUGUAGGCUGGUUGUCCAGGCAAAUCCGGAUAAUCAAGGCUGAGGUGUGAUGACGAGGCACUACGGUGCUGAAGUAACAAAUGCCCUGCUUCCAGGAAAAGCCUCUAAGCAUCAGGUAACAUCAAAUCGUACCCCAAACCGACACAGGUGGUCAGGUAGAGAAUACCAAGGCGCUUGAGAGAACUCGGGUGAAGGAACUAGGCAAAAUGGUGCCGUAACUUCGGGAGAAGGCACGCUGGUGUGUAGGUGAAGUCCCUGCGGAUGGAGCUGAGACCAGUCGAAGAUACCAGCUGGCUGCAACUGUUUAUUAAAAACACAGCACUGUGCAAACACGAAAGUGGACGUAUACGGUGUGACGCCUGCCCGGUGCCGGAAGGUUAAUUGAUGGGGUUAUCCGUAAGGAGAAGCUCUUGAUCGAAGCCCCGGUAAACGGCGGCCGUAACUAUAACGGUCCUAAGGUAGCGAAAUUCCUUGUCGGGUAAGUUCCGACCUGCACGAAUGGCGUAAUGAUGGCCAGGCUGUCUCCACCCGAGACUCAGUGAAAUUGAACUCGCUGUGAAGAUGCAGUGUACCCGCGGCAAGACGGAAAGACCCCGUGAACCUUUACUAUAGCUUGACACUGAACAUUGAGCCUUGAUGUGUAGGAUAGGUGGGAGGCUUUGAAGCGUGGACGCCAGUCUGCGUGGAGCCAACCUUGAAAUACCACCCUUUAAUGUUUGAUGUUCUAACGUUGGCCCCUGACCGGGGUUGCGGACAGUGUCUGGUGGGUAGUUUGACUGGGGCGGUCUCCUCCCAAAGCGUAACGGAGGAGCACGAAGGUUAGCUAAUCCUGGUCGGACAUCAGGAGGUUAGUGCAAUGGCAUAAGCUAGCUUGACUGCGAGCGUGACGGCGCGAGCAGGUGCGAAAGCAGGUCAUAGUGAUCCGGUGGUUCUGAAUGGAAGGGCCAUCGCUCAACGGAUAAAAGGUACUCCGGGGAUAACAGGCUGAUACCGCCCAAGAGUUCAUAUCGACGGCGGUGUUUGGCACCUCGAUGUCGGCUCAUCACAUCCUGGGGCUGAAGUAGGUCCCAAGGGUAUGGCUGUUCGCCAUUUAAAGUGGUACGCGAGCUGGGUUUAGAACGUCGUGAGACAGUUCGGUCCCUAUCUGCCGUGGGCGCUGGAGAAUUGAGGGGGGCUGCUCCUAGUACGAGAGGACCGGAGUGGACGCAUCACUGGUGUUCGGGUUGUCAUGCCAAUGGCACUGCCCGGUAGCUAAAUGCGGAAGAGAUAAGUGCUGAAAGCAUCUAAGCACGAAACUUGCCCCGAGAUGAGUUCUCCCUGAGACUUUAAGUCUCCUGAAGGAACGUUAAAGACGAUGACGUUGAUAGGCCGGGUGUGUAAGCGCAGCGAUGCGUUGAGCUAACCGGUACUAAUGAACCGUGAGGCUUAACCUUACAACGCCGAAG
This 2923-nucleotide ribosomal RNA is filed under the name Klebsiella pneumoniae. Its description in RNAcentral is "23S ribosomal RNA". It matches the Rfam family "Bacterial large subunit ribosomal RNA". Lineage: Bacteria; Pseudomonadati; Pseudomonadota; Gammaproteobacteria; Enterobacterales; Enterobacteriaceae. The record is from RNAcentral.